CAGCAGCCGCGGUAAUACGAGGGGGGCAAGCGUUGUUCGGAAUUAUUGGGCGUAAAGGGUGCGUAGGCGGUUCAGCAAGUCUCGUGUGAAAUCUUCGGGCUCAACCCGAAGUCUGCACGGGAAACUACUGGGCUUGAGUAAUGGAGAGGUGAGUGGAAUUUCCGGUGUAGCGGUGAAAUGCGUAGAUAUCGGAAGGAACACCUGUGGCGAAAGCGGCUCACUGGACAUUUACUGACGCUGAUGCACGAAAGCUAGGGGCGCAAACAGGAUUAGAUACCCCCGUAGUCCCUGUCUCUUAUAC
This 301-nucleotide ribosomal RNA is filed under the name uncultured bacterium. RNAcentral's name for it is "partial 16S ribosomal RNA". It matches the Rfam family "Bacterial small subunit ribosomal RNA", at positions 509 to 807 of the family's 1533-position model. The record is from RNAcentral.